Molecule: unclassified non-coding RNA, 456 nt
Filed under: Hevea brasiliensis (rubber tree)
Lineage: Eukaryota; Viridiplantae; Streptophyta; Magnoliopsida; Malpighiales; Euphorbiaceae
Source: RNAcentral
ACUGUUGAUAACAGCAUCAACAAUGACUUGAAUUGGGUUUUGGUCAGUCAACAAAUGAAUGAUCUCCAUUGCAUGCUUAAUAAUACGAACAGCCAUGAGCUUCUUUCCGUUGUUCCUUCCGUGCAUCAUGAGAGAAUUUGUGAGCCUCUCAACGAUUGGGCACUGAGCCUUCCUGAAACGCUUGGCCUGGUAUCUACCAGCUGUGUGUGGCAUGUAAACUGGGUGCUUGUUAGCAGUUGCGGUGAUGUAAUCCUCAACAGACAUGUCAUUGAUCUCAACUCCAUCAUAGCUCCAGCGAUUGAAAAGCAUGACAUCAGUGUGAACCUUAUUCUCUUUGCUUGCAUCGACGGCGGCGGCCGGGGCGGGGGCAGCAACUACACCUGCGUCCAUUUCUUCUUCUACUUCUCUUGCCUGCUCUAAUUCACCUUCCGGGGAGAAGUGUCUUUCUGCUGUAUG